RNAcentral lists this non-coding RNA (146 nucleotides) under Ricinus communis (castor bean). RNAcentral's name for it is "Bacterial large subunit ribosomal RNA". It matches the Rfam family "Bacterial large subunit ribosomal RNA", at positions 2308 to 2453 of the family's 2925-position model. The record is from Rfam by way of RNAcentral. Lineage: Eukaryota; Viridiplantae; Streptophyta; Magnoliopsida; Malpighiales; Euphorbiaceae.
GUGCAAAGGUUUCCUCGGGCCGGAUGGAGAUUGGCCCUCGAGUGCAAAGGCAUAAGGGAGUUUGACUGCAAGACCCACCCGUAAAGCAGGGACGAAAGUUGACCUUAGUGAUCCGACAGUGCCGAGUGGAAGGGCGGUCGAUCAAC